GAUGAACGCUGGCGGCGUGCCUAAUACAUGCAAGUCGAGCGAACGGACGAGAAGCUUGCUUCUCUGAUGUUAGCGGCGGACGGGUGAGUAACACGUGGAUAACCUACCUAUAAGACUGGGAUAACUUCGGGAAACCGGAGCUAAUACCGGAUAAUAUUUUGAACCGCAUGGUUCAAAAGUGAAAGACGGUCUUGCUGUCACUUAUAGAUGGAUCCGCGCUGCAUUAGCUGGUUGGUAAGGUAACGGCUUACCAAGGCAACGAUGCAUAGCCGACCUGAGAGGGUGAUCGGCCACACUGGAACUGAGACACGGUCCAGACUCCUACGGGAGGCAGCAGUAGGGAAUCUUCGGCAGUGGGCGAAAGCCUGACGGAGCAACGCCGCGUGAGUGAUGAAGGUCUUCGGAUCGUAAUACUCUGUUAUUAGGGAAGAACAGAUGUGUAAGUAACUGUGCACAUCUUGACGGUACCUAAUCAGAAAGCCACGGCUAACUACGUG
This 497-nucleotide ribosomal RNA is filed under the name uncultured bacterium. RNAcentral describes it as "partial 16S ribosomal RNA". It matches the Rfam family "Bacterial small subunit ribosomal RNA", at positions 28 to 507 of the family's 1533-position model. The record is from RNAcentral.